Molecule: RNA transcript, 1975 nt
Organism: Felis catus (domestic cat)
Lineage: Eukaryota; Metazoa; Chordata; Mammalia; Carnivora; Felidae
Gene name: small cysteine and glycine repeat-containing protein 7-like
Exons: 4
Source: RefSeq, a predicted model, not a curated record
GAGUCGGGGCUGGAGAGGUGAGCAAAGUCCGGACCAGGAAAAACAUUGCACAAAUGGGCAGACGUUGUGUUCCACACUGUGCAAGAUUCUUUGGAGGAUUUCAGUGGAGGAGUGAUAUACUUUGGAGAAAAUACCAGUCUGGCAGCACAGGGAGAACGGGCGGAGGGAGAGGGAGAAACCCAGACAAGAAGCUGCUGUGGUGAUCUGGGCAUUGAUGAUGGCGGCUGGACCUGCCAUACAAUGGGACAUUCGAGAAACAUUUCGAGGUUGAGUGGAGAAGCAAAUGGACUCAAGAAUCCAAGAGUGGGGGCUCCAGCCUGCACAGGCGGAUGAUAGCAGAAGGCUGCUCGAGUCUGGCACAUGGCUUGGGAAUGUUGUGCUCAGGAUGUGCUUCUAUCGUCUGGCAGAAUGUGAAGGACGCUCUGUAAUGACCCCUGAUAACACUGGAUCCCUUCUCCUUGGAACCACAGUCCCCUCCUAACUGAUGUUACAGGAUGAAGAAACACCCAAGGAACUCGGCCUUGGGAGGACGAAAUAAUAUGACCUGGGAUCACCUUUCCCUUUGAAUCUCAAGACGUCCUCUUCUGUCUAAAAGGAUGCUUCACCACUUCGCAAAUGGCACACAUUUCCCAGACGGACGGAGUGCUGAAAAGAAAGAGUGAUUCAGACAGCCUAAAUGAAGACCCAUAUUUGCGAUUGGAUCACAGACAGGCACGUUCAAGCAACUGACACGAGACGUGGGAUAUGCACUCACACGGAGUGCUCUUCCCGUGAUUUCCAGCCCUCGCCACCAAGCCCCGAUACAUGGAUCCUGUCUGAUUGCCUUGUGAAUUUUGUCAUAGCUUCAUAUAGUGGGAAUGAGUGUGGACCCUGCUCGGGAGGAAGAAGCGAGAGCUGAGUGUAUGCAGGCAAAGUAGGAACCACACUGCACACACAUGCCACAUUGUGGGUACAACAGCCCCACAUUUCCUCCUUCUUUUUUUCAACUUGAUUAUUUAAAGUUUAUUUAUUUAUUUUUGAGAGAGGUGGGCGUGGGGCUAGGGACAGAGGGAGAUUGGGAAUCCACAGCGGUGCAGAGCCCAACGUGGGACUUCAUCCCAUGAGCCAUGAGAUCACGAUCUGAGCUGAAAUCAAGAGUUGGAUGCUUAACCAACUGAGUCACCCAGAUGCCCCAUGCUUCUUUCUUUUAAGUAUCAGGGACAGCUUGUCACACAGAUUCAGCUAAGCCACAGCAUCAGUUUAGGCUUGUGACUCAGGACCCCCAUAAACACACGUAUUGUUGACAGUCAUCAGGCGUGUCCCAAAAGCAGUAUUGUUUUGUCAGGGUGGCCCUAACAAAAUACCAUACAUGGGGUGGCUUAACCGCCAGGAAUUUACUUUCUCACAGUUCUGGAGGCGGGAAGUCCAAGAUCAAGUCCAAGUUCCGUAGCUCAAGGCCCGAGAUGAAGCUGGCAGUGGGUUUGGUCUGCAGCCUUUCUCCUCAGCUGCAAGAUGGCUGCCUUCUUGCUCUGUCAUCGCACGGUCUUCUUUCUGCACACGUCUGUGUCCCAAUUUUCCCGUCUUCUAAGAACACCAGUCAUAUUUGUUUAGAACCCACCUUAAGGACCUUCUUUGGACUUAAUCACCUCUUUAAAGAGCCCAUUUCCAAACACAGUCACAUUCUGAGAUGUUGGGAGUAAGGGCUUCGACACACAGAUUUUGGGGGGAUGCAAUUCAGCCCAUAACAAAAGAGUAACAAAACAUACAGAAGUCUAAUGCUUUGUCCUUCAUUUACAUGGUUUUGUUAGUGACCUUUGUUUAAUAUAAUAUGGACUUUGCUUUUUUUUUUUCUGCCAAUAGCCAUUACAGAUUUACCCUUACUUUCUUUUCUAUAUCAGAUUGUCAGCUAACUAACAAAGGAAUUGCGUCUUGGUGUCCCUCCCAGGACCCAGCACGAUGUUUGACAAAUAAACGUUCAAGAACGGUCGCCGGUUCA